CUCAGGUGUGAGACAGAAACUGUGAAAAGGCUCACAGCAGAUCUGGCAGAAAAUCAUCUGAUGGAACAGGAGACAAGGUUUAUAUUACCAAGCAGCUCAUAUAGAAGGCCGCGAUUCAGAUUUAAGCAGGCUGCUGUAGGAGCGCGGCUUGAUGUUACGCAGAGAAUGCUUCUUGAUUCCUG
This is a long non-coding RNA of Melanotaenia boesemani (Boeseman's rainbowfish), 182 nucleotides long. RefSeq lists it as uncharacterized. NCBI's taxonomy places the organism in Eukaryota, Metazoa, Chordata, Actinopteri, Atheriniformes, Melanotaeniidae. The record is from RefSeq and is a predicted model, not a curated record. The transcript is spliced from 3 exons.